RNAcentral lists this ribosomal RNA (773 nucleotides) under Aphelenchoides sp. 18Asp. RNAcentral describes it as "eukaryotic LSU rRNA". It matches the Rfam family "Eukaryotic large subunit ribosomal RNA", at positions 344 to 964 of the family's 3401-position model. The record is from RNAcentral. Lineage: Eukaryota; Metazoa; Nematoda; Chromadorea; Rhabditida; Aphelenchoididae.
ACAAGUACCGUGAGGGAAAGUUGCAAAGCACUUUGAAAAGAGAGUGAAAGAGAACGUGAAACCGUUAUAGUGGAAGCGGAUGGAGCCGACGUAUCAGUGCGUAUUCAGCCUUGAGUCGGCCCGAUUUGUUGGCAGCGAUUCUGCAAAGUUCGUUGUCGGCAAUUGUCGUGUCGCUUCUUGGUGCACUUGCGUACAUAAUGCGCCGAAUCGGUCGAGUGCGUUGUUUGAAGCCGUCGAAGAGGACUCGAAUUCGUUUGAGAAACCUUCGGCGGUGGAUGGCAAAUGUGCUCGGCUGUUUAAAGAACUGGUUUUUCGAGCCAAUGUGAUGAGGCUUGGCUUGAUUAGGUACGGCACAUGUGUUUUGCUUUUUCAAGUUAUGUCUUGUCAUAUUGACUCUCUGUUCUGAUUCGGUGUCCAGUCGGUCACCCAUUUGACCCGUCUUGAAACACUGACCAAGGAGUUUAAGGUGUACGCAAGUCAUCGGAUGGUAAAUUCAAAGGCGUAAUGAAAGUGGGACAUUUAGUGUCUGUAAUGCGACCGAUGCGAGUUUCGAUUUGUGUUGGGCAGCAUUGACCCAUGACUAGAAUUAAUUCUGUUGUGGAGUCCGAGCGUACGCUUUGAGACCCGAAAGAUGGUGAACUAUGCCUGAACAGGACGAAGUCGAGUGAAAACUCGAUGGAAGUCCGAAGCGGUUCUGACGUGCAAAUCGAUCGUCUGAUUUGGGUAUAGGGGCGCAAGACUAAUCGAACCAUCUAGUAGCUGGUUCCUUCCGA